GCCAGGCAUGGUGGUGCACGCCUGUAAUCCCAUUAACUUGGAAGCUGAGGCAGGAGGAUCACAAGUUCAAAUCCAGCCUCAGCAAAUUAGCAAAGCCUUAAGCAACUUAGAAAGACCCUGUCUCUA
RNAcentral lists this small RNA (126 nucleotides) under Marmota monax (woodchuck). Lineage: Eukaryota; Metazoa; Chordata; Mammalia; Rodentia; Sciuridae. The record is from RNAcentral.